RNAcentral lists this long non-coding RNA (282 nucleotides) under Manihot esculenta (cassava). RNAcentral's name for it is "long non-coding RNA (MESC_LNC009084)". The record is from RNAcentral. Lineage: Eukaryota; Viridiplantae; Streptophyta; Magnoliopsida; Malpighiales; Euphorbiaceae.
ACCUAUAUUUGGCUCAGCACGGAAGCAAGUCCGAACUCAUUAAAAAGCUCGAGACACUUAAAAACCGGAAAUAAAAAUCUGAGCUCCCGAACUCAUUGAACAGAUGAGCUCACUAGUCGGACAGACUUGCAACAUGUGGACAACCAAGCAGAAUAAAGCUAAGUGUAGAAGAAAUAGUAGAGAGCUGAGCUCCCUAUAUAAAGAGGCCCACAAACGCAAAACACAUAAAAGGAUAAACGAAAGCAAAGGGCCGUGCUCCCAGCUCGAACUAGUGAGGCCGAG